GAGGGUAGAGCUCAGUGGUAGAGCAUGUGCUCAGCAUGCACGAGGUCCUGGGUUCAAUCCCCAGUACCUCCA
This 72-nucleotide transfer RNA is filed under the name Camelus bactrianus (Bactrian camel). It matches the Rfam family "tRNA". From Rfam's summary of the family: Transfer RNA (tRNA) molecules are approximately 80 nucleotides in length. Their secondary structure includes four short double-helical elements and three loops (D, anti-codon, and T loops). RNAcentral also lists the same sequence under 2 other names. Lineage: Eukaryota; Metazoa; Chordata; Mammalia; Artiodactyla; Camelidae. The record is from Rfam by way of RNAcentral.